RNAcentral lists this long non-coding RNA (401 nucleotides) under Mus musculus (house mouse). RNAcentral describes it as "long non-coding RNA chr2:72545211-72545612". The record is from RNAcentral. Lineage: Eukaryota; Metazoa; Chordata; Mammalia; Rodentia; Muridae.
AUGGGUGGCAGGCAUGCUCUCAGAAAUAGCCUAAGUUGGAGCUACCUCACCUCAGUAGCAUCCCCACCUGGCUGAAGCUGACGUGGAAAGAAGCAAAGGAGCAGAUUUACAAACUGGCCAAGAAAAAUCUGACUCGCUCCCAAGAGGCACAGCUCCAUUUUGUGACGAGUAAUAAAAAUCUUGAGAAUCUUUAAGUCCAAAGGUUUUUCCCUUGAGCUCCCUGAGCUUUGAGCUCCCUGAGCUUCUCUGCCAUUUGAUUAGGAAAGCAGUUGCUAUCCAAAGGCAUCUUGAGAGGAACAGAAAGGAUAAGAAUGCUAACUUCCUUCACAUUCUGAUAGAGAGAGCAGAAUUCACUGACUGGCUCAUCCUUAUAGGACUGAGUCUUCCCACCCAAUUGGAAA